Long non-coding RNA from Xenopus laevis (African clawed frog), 1584 nucleotides. RefSeq lists it as uncharacterized. The transcript has 3 exons. NCBI's taxonomy places the organism in Eukaryota, Metazoa, Chordata, Amphibia, Anura, Pipidae. The record is from RefSeq and is a predicted model, not a curated record.
AACAGCUACACAAGAGAAAAGGGCUCAAGUCAGCAACCAUGAUAGUUUGAUUUAAGAUCGGUAUUAAACAAGAUGCACUUUUUGAACGCUAUCCCUAUUUUCAUUGACAUAUUAGUAAAUAGUAUAUAUAAUAUUAACUUCUACCAUAUGAAUUGCAUGGUAAAAAAACAUAUUGCCAUUUUAUUUCCAAUAUAGUAUCUCUCUCCUAGUCCCCCCCCACCAAUUAGUCUUACCUUUGGCUGCUAUAAAUACAAUACAAGGAGUGUUGCCAAUACCAUAAUAUUAGAGUGCUCUUCUGAGACCUUCAGGAGAAAGUACACGUUUUCAGAUGUUGCUCAGCUUAAUAAAGCCCAGAAUAAUUUGACAUAUAUCUGGUCUUUCCUGAGCAGAGCAACAUCAUAAGAGUUUCCUCUCUUCCUCUGAAAUGUACUUCUUACUGUAGCACAAUUGCUAUAUGACCAGCAGGUGGCGCAGUUGUUUCAAUUUCAUUUUAUUAGCAGAGUAAAAAUAGCCAAUAACUUGAAAUCUAGAACACAAAAAAUACUAGACAUAUAUUAAUGCACUGAUCUAGUACAUUUUAUAGCCUGCCCAGGACAGUUUUACAUCAUCCUUAUAAGUAGUAGCCUGGUGGUUAUUUAGCUAAAAGACCUAUAACCAUUUAUUUGCUGAAAGAUGACUAUUUCAGGAAAAGUUUGUCCACUAACUGCUUAAACUUAUACUGCUGGUAACAUUAUUACUUAUGCCCUGGGAAUAAUUAUAGCUGCAGUGAUAGAUUAUACUAGGAUGUGACAUCACUGAUGUAUUAAAGGAAACAAUGUAACCAUCAUCUAACAUUUCCUAUAACCUCUGCUGAUGUUACUUUUUUGUAAAGCUCGAAACACAAGCUCAUAUUUCAAAAAGUACAGGUUUACUCUUGCUUUGAUAUCUUAAGAGAUUGUCUACCUGCCAAUGUAAAUUAUACAUGACAUCACCAGAUAAGAUUCCAUGACUUUCACAGCAGAGACAUUUUGUACUUCUAAUAUCCUUAUGAAUGACAGUAGGAGGUGAAAUGUUUUGUUUUCUUCAAAAACAAGUUCUAAACACCCUGCAAGCUUUCAUACCUCAGGACUUUCAAGUAUGUCUGCAGUUCCCCGGCGGUAGGCGUUGAGGUAGCCAUCAACCAAUAAAGUGAAGUCAGAAAACAUAGCAUCGAGCAUAGCGGAACGUAGAGGCAUAAGGUCUGUCUAUGAGCCAGAAAGGAAACCUUUGAGGGCAGCAUGCUGAGGUGGUGUAUCAGACACUCUUCCAGUGUUCUAGUGCCAUGUGGGAGGAAGCCACCCGUUUCCAUGGAAAAUAGUUGUCAAAGGGAGCAGACCCUGCAGCUGUAGACUUACCUCAUUAUAUAUUUGCAAAAAGGAAGACUGCAGAACUGAUUCCAACAAACGGCAGCCCUAUGUAUGUAAAAAAAAAGUGAUGCUUCUCCAAAUUCCCUUAAGUCACCUGAUAAGUACAGGUACGGGAUCCGUUAUCCGGCAACCCAGAAGAUCAUCUCCUGUAGGCUCCAUUUUAAUCAAAUAAUUCAAAAUAUUAAAAAAAAUUCCUUUU